Molecule: long non-coding RNA, 317 nt
Organism: Rana temporaria (common frog)
Lineage: Eukaryota; Metazoa; Chordata; Amphibia; Anura; Ranidae
Exons: 3
Source: RefSeq, a predicted model, not a curated record
GAAGAGAAGAAUGCACCAGGCAUGAUGAAAAAACCCCACAAGAAGCAGUUCCUUUAGCCUCCAUAAGAUGGUUAUUUCAGCUGUUGGAACGCACAGACAGGAAGUAUUGUAUAGACAGGAAGUGAUGUAAAGGUCAGACAGGAAGUAAUUUAAAGUACACAAAGCGGUUCUUGGUCUCACAGUAAUUUGGGAGGAAGUAGCACUGGCAGCAGAGGAGCAAAAGGUACCAAGAGGAUUCUAGAAGUCACCAACAGGAUCAUUGAUCUGCUGAGAGGAGAGGUUCCUAUAAGGUGUCAGGAUGUCACUGUCUAUUUCUC